RNAcentral lists this ribosomal RNA (575 nucleotides) under uncultured organism. RNAcentral describes it as "bacterial SSU rRNA". It matches the Rfam family "Bacterial small subunit ribosomal RNA", at positions 195 to 747 of the family's 1533-position model. The record is from RNAcentral.
UGGAAAGGAAAGAUGGCCUCUUCUUGAAAGCUAUCUGCGAAUGAUGGGCCUGCUCGUCAUUAGCUUGUUGGUGAGGUAACCGAUCACCAAGGCUGCUAAGACUAUCUGGUCUGAGAGGAUGAUCAACCCCCCUGGCACUGUAACACGGGCCACACUCCUACGGAAGGUAGCACUGUGGAAUAUUGUCUAAUGCGCGAAAGCCUGACGCAGCAACACCGCGCGAUUGACUAAAGCCUUCUUUUCUUAAAGCUCUGUCGAGACGGACUAAACACCUGUGGGAACAAUACCUCGCCGGUUUGACGGUACCUCCAAAGGAACCACCGGCUAACUCCGUGCCAUCCGCCCCGGUACUACAGACGGUGCAAUCGUUGUUCGCACUUACUGAAUAUAAAGGGCGUGUAGGCAUAUCACGACUUCGGUUGUGAAAUCCCUGUGCUCCACCCAUGAAGUGCUCCCGAAACCAUUGGUCUUGAGUUCCAUAGGGGAGCGGAGAAUUCCCAGUGUACAGGUGAAAUUCGUAGAUGUUGGCAACAACAUCGGUGCCUAAUGGCCCUCUCUCAAUGGAUACUGACGCU